Molecule: long non-coding RNA, 3815 nt
Organism: Drosophila simulans
Lineage: Eukaryota; Metazoa; Arthropoda; Insecta; Diptera; Drosophilidae
Exons: 2
Source: RefSeq, a predicted model, not a curated record
AAGGCACGAAAAGCAACAACUGUCGAUCCCAUGGUACUUGCACUGCUUGCUCACCCAAUCUUUUGGUCUCUCUCUCCCUCUCGUGCUCUCCUGCUCUCGUGCGGCACAUGUGUGAAUGAAUGCAGUGGCGUAAACAGCAGCAACAACAACAACAACGGCAACGACAAGCAGCGUGAAUCAAGUGAAUGAAGUAUUUAGCGCGCGCCUUUUUUUCUCUCUGUGUGCAAUGACAUUUUCAAGUGCCCGGACGUACGCCCGUGAUUCGUGUGAGUGUGUGUGUAAGUGAGUGAGUGAGUGAGUGAGCGAGUGAGCGAGUGAGUGAGGUGUGCGUGUGUGGUAUGCAAGUGAGUAAACAACAAUAAUUGUCAGCGGCAAUAACAGAAAUAACAUUUCAUAUAAAUUCCGAUUUGAUAAGCUUUCCUCCCUAAUCUCGACAGGGGAUUUUCCCCUCCCGAUCCUUACUUAGUCUUCCUACUUGUUUGUACGUAUGUACAUAGGUUGGCUAACGCUUUAUUUGCUCACUUUUAUUAUUUAUGAUACGUUCCGCUCCCCAUUGCCCAAUUAUUUUGUUGGAAUGCAUUGCACAAGAUAUUUCCCAGUGUGCUUGUAGCCGUGCGACUGUGUGAGUUGUUUGAUUUGGCAUUUUCAAGUUAUCAAUGAAUUUCACACACACGCACGUAGGAAUAACGGGCGUGAGUAGAGUAAAUUUGUCCGCGUACUUAUUGGAUUCGAUUUCAUUCACACCCAGGGACCCCGAUUUCCCCCACGAAGACCGCCAGAAAUUGAAGUUGGCACAAAUACCGCCGACAGUACAGCUUGGCUAACGUGGACUAGCUCAAAUGCAAUCCCUAUGAAUAUGCACACAUAUACAGCUACAACGACUGCAUAUAUAUAUUUGGAUUGAUGCUAAAUUAUUGAUUAUAUUCGCCCUAGUCAGAUUUAACUAAAUUCCAACAUAUCCAAGAAAUCCAUUUUGAGAUGCACGUCCAGAUUAGAGAGGUUUUGCCGUAUUUACCUAUUGACGGCGAGUAAAUAAGUUCUAUAUUUGCUCACCUUAUCAGACGCCUUAUCGCCCUGCGCUCACUCCACAAAUGUUCCCCAUUUUUGUUGAAUGAAAAUAUUCCCCUUUUCGGUAAUGGGAACACCACAAUACAACCCAUGAAUCCCCCUCCAGUUCGCCAGCCCAUUCAUCUAUUCCCAUCUGUCGGCUGUUCGCUGUAUCUUUCGAGCUGAAUCACAACUUUGACGGGCCAGUCACAGAGUCAAGCUAAUUAAUAACAAGCUAUGGUCGUCGUCCGAAAAAGAUUUCCACCGCCUUCCCCUUCCACAAAUUUUCGUUCUUGCAUGUUAUCAGUUGAGAUUCUCGCUCGUGCGCCCCCUCAUCUGUUUCCUUUCUCGCUUGCUGGUUUUUUUCUGCUCGCCGCUUGUCAAAUUUGACAUUUGCUAUUGAACCGUUCAUAAAAUAGGCGCCAGACUGAUUUUCGCUCGAGUUUUCUCCGCGCCGCGACUCGCCAGUUCUCAGCUAACAGCUCAGAGCUCUCGGUUUUGUUUUGUUUUCUUGUUAUGAUUUAUUAAACAUUUAUUUGGCUUAAUGAAUUAAUUUGAUUUGAUUUCGACAGCGUAACGGAAACGCCUGCGAGUGUGUGCGUGCGCCCUUGUCUGUGUGGGGCGCCAAAAAGGCGCGCUGCACGACGCAAUUGUCUGAGCUCGGGGGAAAAGUGCAUGGCGAAACAAAAGUGAGGAAAAACAAAGGGAACCCCCGAAACAACAAAGCCCAAUGCGCCGAUUGAGGCACAGCUAAACAUUGAGAAGUGUCAUUUUCCAGCGAAAUUCAGUUGUAUUUGAACAAGUCGAAAACAUUUUGAGUAUGAACUUGCAUUAUCUUACUACGAUUUUGAUGGAUUAUAACUGGUAAUUGCUCGCCAGUAAUUAUCCCCUUUACCGAAGGUCAACUGUAUUACAACGGGCUUGGGGAGAAAACGCAGCAGGCCUCCUGAGCACAAAAUAGAACGCAAUAUGUUUUUACAAGCGUCUGAAAAAUUGCCAAGAGACAGCAACAAAAGGCCGCCGAGUUAUAAUGGUUGUUUAGCUAUUAAGUUCCGCUUAAAUUGUUUUCACAUUUACCUUAUGCCCGCCCGUGCGCCAAUGCUACAAACAUAGAUACGCUCACCAACACACGCAAGCGAAAGCGCCAGCGGCAAAAACAACGACAGCGACAACAACAACCACUGGAGCAGAAUGGGGAGAACUACAUAAGCAAAGUGCGAGGCACAAAAGAACCUAAUCAAGAGCAAAACGCCGCAAAUAAAGCAAUAAACAAGACACAAUAUUGUUUUUCCUUCUUCUGCCACUUCUUCUCCUCUCCUUUAUUCCCUGCUUCUGCCAAAUAACAACAGCAAAACGAGUAAUAAUAAUACAAACAACAAUGAAACGAGAGCGGUUUCGAAAUAGCUGCCCAAACAGUGCCAGUAGUUUCCAUUUCCAUCCAGUCUCAGUCUUGGCCUCUCGAAGCUGAAAUCUCGAUUCUCAAAGCUCCAGUUCAGUUCCGAGCAAAAACAACAAGAAGCAGAGACACAAGAGCAACUACUAAAGUACAGUAAAUAACCAGAUUAGCAACAAAAACACCUAGAUUCGCGACGAGACGAGGCAGACAGACAGACGCAGCUAAACUAGCAAGGUCAUAGGAAAACAAAUACAAAAAAUGUUUUACAAAAUAGAUGUGUGUUUAAAAGGGGUUGCACGGGCGAACCUAUCGAUAACAAAGGCAAAUCCGUAAAGUAGCUCAAUGCGCCAAAGAGCACGCACAAAAAAAGGCACACGCACGCAUUUUUAAGCCAACCGCAAGAAGAAGCCGAACAAUCCGGAGAAUCUGCAAUGAAAGCAGGAGGUGGAGAAAGGACGGAGAAAGAGCGUGCCCAAAGCCCGGGUUUACAGUUGUUUGAUCCCACAAAUCAGAUUAGAGCGAGAGGCAGCUACUGGAGUGUGGUGAACUGGGGCGCAAUGUGGUGGGUUCAAUGGGUUGUGGUACCCACCCCCCCUCUCCUCGUCCUUGCCUAUAAAAAUAUAAUCAGAAGAUCCGCACGGGGAAAGCAAGUGCUGGCGACAGCUGAGCCACCAGAUUUACAUCGAUCACACUUUUUAUGCCACAUCAAGCGUCGCGCACAACAACAGUGCAACGCGAAAAGAGCGAGUGCAGCGAUGACAUUUGGGCGAGACAGUCGGGUGACACGCAGACAGAGAAGAACAUCGGCGGAGAUAGAGACGGAGACAACGGACGGACAGGCGGACUGACGGACGGACAAGGCAGUGCACUUGCAAAGAAGCAUCCUUUAAAUAUCUUAAGCAAUACAAUUUAAAAACUCAUGAAAUGAAAAGGAGUUAUUCAAAUAUAUUGAAGCAGCGUAAUUUCAAUAAUCUAUCCGAUUUAGAAGCUACCAAAAUCUAGAUACAGAUACGGAUCUUUAUAAAUAUAAGGUCGAAUAAUUUCUUAUUCAAUUAUCAAAGCCUUAAACCCACCAUAUUUAGACGAAUACUACGAUUAGUUAGUUAGUUAGAAGCCAAAAAUCUUCCGAAUUUGGGUUACUAAAUAAUUUCACAGCGAUUAGCAGCGAGUUUUUUCGAGUGUAAAAAGUGCAGGGCAGACGAUCAGACACCAGCCCAUCCACACCACGCCGAGCCACAGCGAAGCAGCAUCAGCAUCAGAUUGCCGAGACCGGUACCGCCGGGCGGAGGUGCGAGCGGGAUGGGCAGCUUUUGUGUACGGACGAGGCCAUUAGAUGAUCGCCGCGGCUAAAUUUAAAUGUCUGUGCGUUUAA